UGUAAGUGUAGUCAUGGAUUGUCGUGUCCAACGGUUGACCGUCCAUCUUAUUUUUUAUGAUUAGUUUUUUAUUGUUAUUAGAUGAUAAAACAUGAACAAUACGUGACUUAUGUUUUUAAUUUAUUUUUUAUAAACUUUUCAAAUAAGGCGGACAGUUAAACGUUGGACAUGGAAACCCACAAGUGCAUUUAAA
Oryza rufipogon (brownbeard rice) is the source of this 193-nucleotide microRNA precursor. It matches the Rfam family "MIR812 microRNA precursor family". NCBI's taxonomy places the organism in Eukaryota, Viridiplantae, Streptophyta, Magnoliopsida, Poales, Poaceae. The record is from Rfam.